UGGGGAAUAUUGCACAAUGGGCGGAAGCCUGAUGCAGCGACGCCGCGGGGGGGAUGAAGGCCUUCGGGUUGUAAACUCCUUUCGACAGGGACGAAGCUUUUGUGACGGUACCUGUAUAAGAAGCACCGGCUAACUACGUGCCAGCAGCCGCGGUAAUACGUAGGGUGCGAGCGUUGUCCGGAAUUACUGGGCGUAAAGAGCUCGUAGGGGGUUUGUCGCGUCGUCUGUGAAAUUCCGGGGCUUAACUCCGGGCGUGCAGGCGAUACGGGCUGACUUGAGUGCUGUAGGGGAGACUGGAAUUCCUGGUGUAGCGGUGAAAUGCGCAGAUAUCAGGAGGAACACCGAUGGCGAAGGCAGGUCUCUGGGCAGUAACUGACGCUGGGGAGCGAAAGCAUGGGUAGCGAACAGG
RNAcentral lists this ribosomal RNA (409 nucleotides) under Actinomycetes bacterium. RNAcentral's name for it is "Actinobacteria bacterium partial 16S ribosomal RNA". It matches the Rfam family "Bacterial small subunit ribosomal RNA", at positions 355 to 776 of the family's 1533-position model. Lineage: Bacteria; Bacillati; Actinomycetota; Actinomycetes. The record is from RNAcentral.